UACGGAGGAUGCAAGCGUUAUCCGGAAUCAUUGGGCGUAAAGCGUCCGUAGGUGGCUGUUCAAGUCUGCGGUCAAAGCACAAGGCUUAACCUUGUAAAGGCCGUGGAAACUGAAGAGGCUAGAGUGCGGUAGGGGUAGAGGGAAUUCCCAGUGUAGCGGUGAAAUGCGUAGAGAUUGGGAAGAACACCAGUGGCGAAGGCGGCUAUCUGGACGGUUUCUGACACUAAGACUCGAAAGCGUGGGGAGCAAACAGG
Molecule: ribosomal RNA, 254 nt
Filed under: uncultured bacterium
Lineage: Bacteria
Description: partial 16S ribosomal RNA
Rfam family: Bacterial small subunit ribosomal RNA
Source: RNAcentral